UACGAAGGGGGCUAGCGUUGUUCGGAUUUACUGGGCGUAAAGCGCGUGUAGGCGGUUCGUAAAGUCGGGUGUGAAAGCCCUGGGCUUAACCCAGGAAGUGCACUCGAAACUCACGAACUUGAGUCCCGGAGAGGAAGGCGGAAUUCUCGGUGUAGAGGUGAAAUUCGUAGAUAUCGAGAGGAACAUCGGUGGCGAAGGCGGCCUUCUGGACGGUGACUGACGCUGAGACGCGAAAGCGUGGGGAGCAAACAGG
RNAcentral lists this ribosomal RNA (253 nucleotides) under uncultured bacterium. RNAcentral's name for it is "partial 16S ribosomal RNA". It matches the Rfam family "Bacterial small subunit ribosomal RNA", at positions 524 to 776 of the family's 1533-position model. The record is from RNAcentral.